RNAcentral lists this ribosomal RNA (424 nucleotides) under uncultured bacterium. RNAcentral describes it as "bacterial SSU rRNA". It matches the Rfam family "Bacterial small subunit ribosomal RNA", at positions 355 to 776 of the family's 1533-position model. The record is from RNAcentral.
UAAGGAAUAUUGGGCAAUGGACGCAAGUCUGACCCAGCCAUGCCGCGUGGAGGAUGAAGGUCCUCUGGAUUGUAAACUUCUUUUAUCUGGGAAGAAAUCCAUAAAUUCUUUUAUGGUUGACGGUACCAGAUGAAUAAGCACCGGCUAACUCCGUGCCAGCAGCCGCGGUAAUACGGAGGGUGCAAGCGUUAUCCGGAUUCACUGGGUUUAAAGGGUGCGUAGGCGGGCAGGUAAGUCAGUGGUGAAAUCCCCGAGCUUAACUCGGGAACUGCCAUUGAUACUAUUUGUCUUGAAUACCGUGGAGGUGAGCGGAAUAUGUCAUGUAGCGGUGAAAUGCUUAGAUAUGACAUAGAACACCCAUUGCGAAGGCAGCUCACUACGCGGUCAUUGACGCUGAGGCACGAAAGCGUGGGGAUCAAACAGG